This 611-nucleotide ribosomal RNA is filed under the name uncultured Pseudomonadota bacterium. RNAcentral describes it as "bacterial SSU rRNA". It matches the Rfam family "Bacterial small subunit ribosomal RNA", at positions 85 to 692 of the family's 1533-position model. Lineage: Bacteria; Pseudomonadati; Pseudomonadota. The record is from RNAcentral.
UUGCUGACGAGUGGCGGACGGGUGAGUAAUGUCUGGGAAACUGCCCGAUGGAGGGGGAUAACUACUGGACACGGUAGCUAAUACCGCAUAACGUCGCAAGACCAAAGAGGGGGACCUUAGGGCCUCUUGCCAUCGGAUGUGCCCAGAUGGGAUUAGCUAGUAGGUGGGGUAAAGGCUCACCUAGGCGACGAUCCCUAGCUGGUCUGAGAGGAUGACCAGCCACACUGGAACUGAGACACGGUCCAGACUCCUACGGGAGGCAGCAGUGGGGAAUAUUGCACAAUGGGCGCAAGCCUGAUGCAGCCAUGCCGCGUGUAUGAAGAAGGCCUUCGGGUUGUAAAGUACUUUCAGCGGGGAGGAAGGGAGUAAAGUUAAUACCUUUGCUCAUUGACGUUACCCGCAGAAGAAGCACCGGCUAACUCCGUGCCAGCAGCCGCGGUAAUACGGAGGGUGCAAGCGUUAAUCGGAAUUACUGGGCGUAAAGCGCACGCAGGCGGUUUGUUAAGUCAGAUGUGAAAUCCCCGGGCUCAACCUGGGAACUGCAUCUGAUACUGGCAAGCUUGAGUCUCGUAGAGGGGGGUAGAAUUCCAGGUGUAGCGGUGAAAUGCGUA